This 1948-nucleotide ribosomal RNA is filed under the name human gut metagenome. RNAcentral's name for it is "bacterial LSU rRNA". It matches the Rfam family "Bacterial large subunit ribosomal RNA", at positions 1 to 1973 of the family's 2925-position model. The record is from RNAcentral.
GAAAGUAAGCAAGGGCAGACGGUGGAUGCCUUGGCUCUCGGAGGCGAUGAAGGACGUGAUAAGCUGCGAAAAGCUCGGGGGAGGCGCAAAUAGCCCUUGAUCCCGGGAUAUCCGAAUGGGGCAACCCGGCAGGCUGAAGGCCUGCCAUCCCGUAAGGGAGGCGAACGUGGGGAACUGAAACAUCUAAGUACCCAUAGGAGGAGAAAAUAAACAAUGAUUCCGUAAGUAGUGGCGAGCGAACACGGAAGAGCCCAAACCCGUGCCGUCUAGGCGACACGGGGGUUGUAGGACCACGACGUGGCAAGAUAGAGUCAAGUGGAACGCCUUGGAAAAGGCGACCGUAGAGGGUGAUAGUCCCGUACACGACUGACGAUUGAAGCCUAGUGGCAUCCUGAGUAGCGCGGGGCACGAGAAAUCUUGCGUGAAACUGCGGGGCCCAUCCCGUAAGGCUAAAUACUCCCGAGAGACCGAUAGCGAACCAGUACCGUGAGGGAAAGGUGAAAAGAACCCCGAGCAGGGGAGUGAAAUAGACCCUGAACCCGUCUGCCUACAAGCGGUCGGAGCAUCGUCAAGAUGUGACGGCGUGCCUUUUGCAUAAUGAACCUACGAGUUACCUUCCCCGGCAAGGUUAAGUACCUAAGGUACGGAGCCGAAGCGAAAGCGAGUCUGAAUAGGGCGGCCAGUCGGGGGGGGUAGACGCGAAACCGAGUGAUCUACCCUUGGCCAGGUUGAAGGUUGGGUAACACCAACUGGAGGACCGGAUGGGUAAGCGUUGAAAAGCUUUCCAAUGAGCUGAGGGUAGGGGUGAAAGGCUAAUCAAACUCGGAGAUAGCUCGUACUCCCCGAAAUGCAUUUAGGUGCAGCCUCUUUAUAGUAUAUCGUGAGGUAGAGCGACUGAUUGGAUGCGAGGGCUUCACCGCCUAUCAAGUCCAGAUAAACUCCGAAUGCGCGAUAUAUAUUUAAAGGGAGUGAGGGCGCGGGUGCUAAGGUCCGUGUCCGAGAGGAGAAGAAUCCAGACCACCGGCUAAGGCCCCCAAAUGAUCGUUGAGUUGAACUAACGAGGUCGGAUCGCAGAGACAGCUAGGAUGUUGGCUUGGAAGCAGCCAUUCAUUUAAAGAGUGCGUAACAGCUCACUAGUCGAGCGAUCUGGCGUGGAUAAUAAUCGGGCAUAAACGAUCUGCCGAAGCCGUGGAUGUCGUAAGACAUGGUAGGGGAGCAUUCCAUGCGGCGUCGAAGAUGAGGGAUGACCCUUGUUGGAGCGCAUGGAAAAGCAAAUGUAGGUAUGAGUAACGAUAAGGGGGGCGAGAAACCCCCCCGCCGAAAGACCAAGGUUUCCUGAUCAACGCUAAUCGGAUCAGGGUGAGUCGGGACCUAAGGCAAAGCCGAACGGCGCCGCCGAUGGAAGAAUGGGUUAAUAUUCCCAUACUGCCUCAUGGAGUGACGUGGAGACGGAGAAGUGACAGUCCUGCCGGCUGACGGAAUAGCCGGUUGAAGGGUGUAGAUAUUGAUUCCCGUAGGCAAAUCCGCGGGGAGAGUCGAACCUGACAGUAUACCGAGUACUUGUACGAGGUAAUAUGGACGUAACCAUGCUCCCAAGAAAAUCCGCUAAACUUAUCCAUGCGGCACCCGUACCGUAAACGGACACACGUGGUCGGGUUGAGAAUACUGAGGCGCUCGAGUGACUCACGGUUAAGGAACUAGGCAAAUUGACCCUGUAACUUCGGGAUAAAGGGUCCUCGUCGUAAGGCGAGGCGCAGAGAAUAGGUCCAGGCAACUGUUUAACAAAAACACAUGGCUGUGCUAAAUGGAAACAUGACGUAUACAGCCUGACACCUGCCCGGUGCUGGAAGGUUAAGAGGAGAUGUCAUCGCAAGAGAAGCGUUGAAUUGAAGCCCCAGUAAACGGCGGCCGUAACUAUAACGGUCCUAAGGUAGCGAAAUUCCUUGUC